Molecule: unclassified non-coding RNA, 414 nt
Filed under: Hevea brasiliensis (rubber tree)
Lineage: Eukaryota; Viridiplantae; Streptophyta; Magnoliopsida; Malpighiales; Euphorbiaceae
Source: RNAcentral
AUUGAAAUGAUGGAAAAAUGCUAUGAGAAGUUUCAGAGUGCUGGAAUUGAACCUAGUAUCAAGACAUUCAACAUACUGUUAGAUUCAUACGGGAAAACAGAAAAUUACGAGAAAAUGGGUGCUGUGAUGGAAUUUAUGCAGAAAUAUCAUUUUUCAUGGACCAUAGUUACUUACAAUAUCGUAAUAGAUGCAUUUGGAAGGGCUGGAGAUUUAAAGCAAAUGGAAUUUCUUUUUAGGCUGAUGCAGUCUGAGAGGAUAAAACCGAACUGUGUUACUCUUUGUUCUCUCGUAAGAGCUUAUGGGAAAGCUGGCAAAGCUGAAAAACUUGGAGCUGUUUUGCGGUUUAUUGAGAAUUCUGACGUGGCACUUGACACCGUGUUUUUUAACUGUCUAGUGGAUGCAUAUGGGAUGAUG